UGGCUCAGGAUGAACGCUGGCGGCGUGCUUAACACAUGCAAGUCGAACGAGGUUAUUACAGCGGAAGUUUUCGGAUGGAAGCAGUUUUAACCGAGUGGCGGACGGGUGAGUAACGCGUGGGAAACCUGCCCUAUUCCGGGGGAUACCAGUUGGAAACGACUGUUAAUACCGCAUAAGCGCACAGUGCCGCAUGGUACAGUGUGAAAAACUCCGGUGGAAUAGGAUGGUCCCGCGUCUGAUUAGGCAGUUAGCGGGGUAACGGCCCACCAAACCGACGAUCAGUAGCCGACCUGAGAGGGUGACCGGCCACAUUGGGACUGAGACACGGCCCAAACUCCUACGGGAGGCAGCAGUGGGGAAUA
This 362-nucleotide ribosomal RNA is filed under the name uncultured rumen bacterium. RNAcentral describes it as "bacterial SSU rRNA". It matches the Rfam family "Bacterial small subunit ribosomal RNA", at positions 20 to 363 of the family's 1533-position model. The record is from RNAcentral.